AAAAGAAAACACACGUGCCCGGUACUUAGCAAGCACUGCAGUGAUGCUGUUCAUUGAACUUGAGAGGAUUACAGACGGAAUAGACUGAGAAGAGGGAGGUGAACUGGAACUCUGCACUCUGUGGGUUGGGGCAGGCAGGCUCCCUUCCGACUCUGGUUCCAGAAGGAAGCCUGGCAGACGGGCACCCUGGGAGGGAAAAGGGAGACCCAGAGGAAACAUUCACCAGGUCGCCCACGCCACCGCCACCGCCGCCACCGUGGCCUAGGAAUGCUGAGCCCUGCCCAGUGAUUUCACCACUACCUUGCCUGGGCAGGUCGCCUGAAAAACUACACAUCCCAGCUUCCCUUGCAGCUGUGUGUGCGCCAAGUUCUGGCCGAUGGGAUGUCAGUGGUAGAUGCACCUCCCAACUCCUCCUUCCGGAGUCCCCUGUGGAGGAGCCAGCCCUGGACCACCUCUACCUGAGAGAAGACCCAUCCUCUGUCUUAUUUCAGACACUUUUAUUGGAAGGUUUUCUGACACUGUCCGUGGGGCUUGAUCCUCCCUAACACAGUGUCUCGCUCUCAGAUUGCAACAGGGAAAGAAGGCCCGCCAGACGUUUGAGGAAAGCUUCCGCCUAGAAGUGGACAGACCAGAGCAAAUGGAGAGAAGGAACCGGGAUGGGAGAGCCAAUGCAGAGAGCAGGAGAAAGGCUUUGAAGAAUCUAUAAUUAAAGUGAGAAAAAUGCA
This is a long non-coding RNA of Myotis brandtii (Brandt's bat), 725 nucleotides long. RefSeq lists it as uncharacterized. The record is from RefSeq and is a predicted model, not a curated record. The transcript is spliced from 2 exons. Lineage: Eukaryota; Metazoa; Chordata; Mammalia; Chiroptera; Vespertilionidae.